UGGAGAGCCAAGGUUGCCUAUGCCUGGACUAGGGAGACUAGGUUAGUCCCCUAAAUGUUCCCCUGGUACCUCCAUCUCAAAGCCUGGGAAGCGUCUACCUGGCUUAGUGAGAGAUAUGUGAUUCUCACACAUGUGACACCAGUAUGUCACAACGCCGCCCCCCCCCCAAAUUGCUCUCACAAGCUAACUGGCCCUAACUGUUCCCCUAUGAAAAAUUUCACUGAACGUUGCUGCUGCUAGGGUAUAUCAGUAAUACCAAAGGAUGAGAAAUGUAUCAAUUUAAUCAUCCAAAACCACAGUCCUUUAAUCCUGCAGUAAUCACUGCUUCUGCUGAGCAGCAGCUGUAUUUUCUGUGGAGAAAUGUACAGAAGUCACCUGAAUCUGUGGAAAGUUCUUCAUUCCUAAAACCUUUGUUUCACUAAUGUGAAGCAUUUGUCAGGCACCAUCCCACUCAUGUGAAAUUCUUUGACAUUUUAUUAUCUCAAGGGAUUAAAAAUGAACAGCAAAUGACCUGUAAUUGACGUAAGUGUAGUGCCAUGAAGAUUGAGAUGUAAUAAUGAGCCAGGAUAUUCACCUAGAUGCUGCUCCUGGAAGCCAAAUCUAGAAGACUGUUGUCUGCCCAGAAGAGGGAACUUUAAGUGUGGUGGCUGGAUAUUUGCAGUGUGACAUUAAUCAGGCUUAACAAGGGAGAUGGAAUAGUCAGAAAACAUUCAUUUGUUUCCCAUCUUUUCCAUGAGCUUUGUGUUUGCUGUCUAGACCUGCAUUGUAUAAACACUGACAACUGGGAAAUACUGGCCUGCGAGCGCUCCAGUUGGAGAACAGCCUUUACCAAAGGUGUCUUGGGCUUUGAAGACACAUGAACUCAGGAGGCAAGGGAGAAAGGUGCUAAGAGGAAGGCACGCUUGGCAAAUCCACACCAUGAUCAACUCCCCCCCCCCAGAAACCAAUGUCCCCACUGUGGAAGGACAUGUGGAUCCAGAAUUGGCUCCACAGUCACUUAUGGACUCAUUGUUAAAACCGUGUUUAUGGAAGGCAAUCUUACUCGGCUACAAGUGAUUGCCAAAGAAUAUAUAGAAGGGAAAGCAAAGCAAAGUAGGGAGAUGACUUUUUGAUACUGAAUGAGUCACAUAAAUUAUAUGCCCUCGUACUUGAAUGAGGUAGUUACUCUGAGUUGGUGGGUAACAGAUAUGGUGACAAAACAGAUCAAGGGCCAAAAACAUGUGGUAAGUCCCAGAGUCUCUUGACUGUUUAUGGCAACAUUUGUGCUACAUUUAGAACCAUAUUCAUUUGCUCCGGUUUUAAGAAAUGUUUGAAAUCAGCAUUGAUGGAAAACUGUGUUUGUCUUCUUCAGCUUUUGUAAAAGCAAUAGCUUGGCAAUUCUUUUUGUCAAAGAUCUUUGGACCAAGUGGAACCUGGAAGAAUAUGGUUUUAAGCAUGAUUGGACAGAAGCUGCACUAGAGCACAGUUCCCACGUGGCCUAGGUGCUGCUGCACCACAACAUCUCUACUGUACCUAUCUUCUCAGAACUAUAUGCUCAGCCUUGAAAUUAAUGAAUGUAUGCAAGGAUGCCUGAACAUUCCAGUACAGCUUGAUCAUCCUUUGUUUACUUUGACUCUCAGAGGCUUUAUUUUCUGUGUGGAUGCCCCUAAUGGCUGGGCACUGCUUGCUCAAUCCCCCCUCCCAUUUCUUUGCUUGACAUUUUAUAAGGUCUCAAUAGAUAGAGAAUCGCAUAUUGCUCAGGUUUUGCAGCUGAUUGGAGGCAAAUAACCAAUUAAAUCCUAGGUAAGAAUAGCUUCGCAGCACAGCUGCUUGAUGCUGUUAUGGUGCCCUCUGGCUACAUGCUGUGCACACAGUUAGACAAAGGGAACAUUGAGAAGAGCAAUAAACUAAUUUCAAGUUGGUGCCAGUAUUUAACUGCUUGUGCACUAUAGUGAGAGAGAAGAAAGCCAGCUGACAGGAAGCACAGUGCUGCAGCAAUACCAGCAUCGGUCCUUUAUUCAUCAGCCUUCAGUGACUGUACUAAACUCCUUACACCCUCUUGCUGAAGUUCAUGCAUAAGCAGCACUUUGCUAGAUGAUACCCCUAAGCAAGGACCACUUAUGGAUGCUGAACUCCCAGUUUUCCAUGCCUGUUGCCUGUGAUGGAUGUGAGCUCAACUGAGGGAUUUGGCGUGGCAGAGAAGAUUGCACUGCUCACCUUUAUUUCUGCUGUUAUUCUUAUGGCUAUCCUGGGAAAUCUUCUGGUGAUGGUGGCUGUAUGCAGAGACAGGCAACUCAGGAAAAUCAAGACCAAUUAUUUCAUAGUCUCACUUGCCUUUGCUGACUUGCUGGUAUCAGUUCUGGUGAUGCCAUUUGGAGCCAUUGAGCUGGUUCAAGAUAACUGGAUUUAUGGAAGAACGUUCUGUUUAGUCCGCACUUCUCUUGAUGUCCUCCUCACAACAGCAUCAAUUUUCCACCUCUGCUGUAUCUCAUUAGACAGGUACUAUGCUAUCUGCUGCCAGCCGCUGGUUUAUAGGAAUAAGAUGACACCACUGCGCAUUGCUCUAAUGCUGGGUGGAUGUUGGGUAAUCCCAAUGUUUAUUUCUUUUCUCCCUAUCAUGCAAGGCUGGAAUAGCAUUGGCAUCAUGGACUUGGUAGAGAAAAAGCAAUUCAACAGUAUGUCCAACUCAACUUACUGCAUAUUUAUGGUCAACAAGCCCUAUGCUAUCACCUGCUCUGUGGUUGCCUUCUACAUUCCGUUUCUGCUAAUGGUGCUAGCCUACUACCGGAUAUACAUUACAGCCAGGGAGCAUGCUCACCAGAUACAGAUUCUUCAGCGUGCAGGGGCCCCGACAGAUGGGAGGGCACACCACCCUGACCAGCACAGCACUCACCGUAUGAAGACGGAAACUAAAGCAGCCAAGACCCUCUGUAUAAUCAUGGGGUGUUUCUGCUUAUGCUGGGCACCAUUCUUCAUCACAAAUGUAAUAGACCCUUUCAUAGAUUAUGCAGUUCCUGCAAAGAUAUGGACUGCUUUCCUGUGGCUGGGAUACAUCAAUUCAGGAUUGAACCCCUUCCUUUAUGCAUUCUUGAACAAGUCUUUCAGACGUGCCUUCCUCAUCAUCCUGUGUUGUGGUGAUGAACGAUACCGAAGGCCUUCCAUCUUAGGGCAAACAGUCCCUUGUUCCACAACUACUAUAAAUGGAUCUACACAUGUGCUAAGGUAUACAGUCUUGUACAAUGGGCAACCCCAGGAACAUGACAAGCUUCCGAUCCAUAAUGACCCAGAAUCCCAAGAGUCCUGCUUCUGACUAAGGUCUCAGAAUGUGAUCUGCCAUGCAGGACAGUUGCAAGAUGAUGGUGCACCAGGAACCUGAUGCCAGAUCAAUGUUCUGAUUUGACAUCAGCACCAAUAGCAAGGAUGUGCUUACCAACUGGAAGGAUUAGGCAGAGUCUGCAGAGAGAAGGAAGGAGAUCCUUUUUGUUGUUGUUGCUGCAGAGUGAUGCCUGGAAAAGUCAUAGUGCUUUGCAUGUGGUGCGCAAACAGUAAGCAACAUGCUUGAUGGUUCUUGCAUUUGCUUCAACAGAUGUGUCCGUACACAUCUCUCUGUCUCUCUCUUUUGUAUUGUUAUGUGGCAACAAUAUGAAUCUUCUCCCAGAAUUUGACUUGAAGUGCUAAUAUCAAACCACACUUUUGCUUAACCAAAAAGAAACAAGGAACUGAUACUAUUUUUCUCAGCUGUUUUUAAUUGUGAGCUUUUACUCAAGAAAUGUACUCCCCCAGCUGUGCAAGAAGAAAAGUGGCAGUCUUGCUAUGCAUGUCCCCACCCCCCCACCCUAGUAUGUCUCCUCACCAAAAUAUAUUGAGGAGCACGAAUAGCCCAAGGAGAACUACGUUAUGGCCUAGGGAUAUGGAACUGAUUGUGGUAUGAAGUCCUGCAGCUCCCACCAAACUGAUCUACUGUGCACAAUGUGAAGAUUAAACGAUGAACGGUCACAGAUUCUAUCGCUAAGAUGUCUCCAUCUGCCCCCUCACACGUUGUCAAUGAGAUCUUCAUCUGGACAGUGCUGCUAUGAAGGAAGUGCUGCUAUGAAGGAAGAGUGAGCCAGGAGGCAGAACCCUAAAGAAAGGAAUAACUCACCUAUAAUAGUUCACUAAGUGCCAUCUUGAUGUGCGUGUACAUUUGACCACCCUUUAUAGCUGAAGAAUGUGUUUGGAAAGCCGAUUGACUCAUUUACUUGCCCCAUUUUGCUCUGUGGCUCAGGGAUUGUGUGUGAUGGACCAGUAGCUACUUGUGUGUCUUUGGGUUUAUCAGUAUUUGCUGAUGACCCCAGGCAGUAACAGCAGCAGAGCCCUCAGUUAGGGAGUAGGCAGGCACCCAGUUGGGAAUGCAGGUACAUAAUGUAAGACAGGGAAGAAGGCACUAGAGGCAGUUGCAGUGCCAACAGCUGCUGCUUACAUGAGAAGGGUGAGACAAGUAAAUAGGCCUUCUGGAAUGGCCAUCUUGGUAGGAGACGGGCUGUUCAGAAUGAGGAGGAGGUCCAAGACUAAGGCUGUAUUGAGCCAGGCAAGGCUUCAUUGGCUCCCUAGGCUAGGACAGCUGCCUAGGAGCUGUGUCAGUUGGUGGGACCUGUAAUGCUGUUUAUGUGGUACCCACAACUCCUUCAGUAGAGAUGCUGCCUUGGUCGCAAGAUGUUGGAGCCUACUGGAGGUCCUGGUUUGAGACCCCGAGCACCUUUGCAGGGUUUUUUCUUUUCUUUUCUAAUGCUUUAUUGGAACUUCAGAUAUUUUCCUUGUACAACUGUCCCUCGAAAAGGAUGUCAGCCAUGCUUAUGUCAGCACUUUCCUGCAUGCAGAUGUUACUGCCUUCCUUAUUUGUGGUAGCUCUGCUUUUCUUUGCAUGUUAUGUUUAUCAGCUUUGCUGUAGACCGAAGGACUCUGGGAGUUUGAUUUUCAUAUCAUGAGAAAUGUGCAGAUCCAAGCAUGGAUCUGUAUUCUCCUUCCCUGAAGAUCUAACCUAAAGAUGACAACCUUGCUCUGGACAACAGGUAUUUUGUUACAUUGUAUAAUUAUGUACAGGUGUUUUUAAGUGUAUAGGAGAAAAACAUUAUUUAUUAUUUUAAGGGAAUUUUUAUUUUCCUGUGGACGUCUUCUGAGUUUAGGAGCUAAAACAUUUUCAGUAGUGUUUUGUUUUGUUUAUUUAAAAAACAGUUUUAUUUUUCUGUUGCCAUGUGACAGCUAUUCAUUGUUUUAAAAGGAGGAGGAAAAGACAGUUUUUAUAACAAAACAAAUGCAAUUUAAAGGACAUUUCAUUGGUCUACUCUUGUUGAGAGGAUGAGUCUAUGGCUUUUUACUCUGGUGUUGCUCUGCAGACACUUGUUGCUUGUGCAGCUGGCCCCAAACUACUGUAUGGGGAUUUAGAGUGUUGUUUUAGUGUGCCCAGUCUCUGCUGUACACAUGUGAAGCGUACUUCAUUAUGCUGGGUAGGCCUGUGCAACUAGCUUUACAGAUUAACGUAACCCAGCUGGAGGUGGGGGAAAAUCCUUUGGAUAUUUUGCAUGCUCGCUGUUGUGUGCUGCCAUACCCAAAGGGAAGUGAGCAGGGGCAUGAGCUUUAUGAACCCCGGAGAAAACUAGACUGCAUGAUCUCACCAGUGUUGUAAAGCCAGAGGAGGUAAAAUGGGCCACCCAUGUGGCCCUGCGUUGAGACUGCCUGACUCACUUCUUUCACACUUGUCGCAGAAACUAGAGAACCUGUAACAAUGACAUACCAGCUGCCAAAUUUACAUUUUAACCUUCCUCCCCACCCCCCACAAGGCCAGCCAAUGCUGUUUUGUUUUUGAGGGGAAGCUGCCACUACCACCACAUUACACAUCAUCCUUAGCCUGCGCCUCCACCUCUACAGGCAAUUCUGGAAGUUAGCCUUUAUUCUGCUGCCCUGCAUCCUGUCAGAUGACAGCCAGCAGAUUGCUUUCAUCAGGAAAUCCAGCCAUUCUCACCUUUCAUUGAAAUAUUAUUCCUCCUCCCAACCACAAGGGAGCCACUUACUCACAAGGAGCUCCUAUGUGACUGGGGUAACGCUGAAAUGACCAAACCAUGUGAAGAGGCGAUACUCGCUUGCAUCUUUCUCAUGGAAUGAGCACCAUUCCAGGAGUAGGUAGAGAUUCCGUGAGAAAGACCUACCCAAGCAGCCCUGCUUGGAGAUAAUGCAGCUCUUACAUGGCUGGAUGCAGUGCUUUUUUCUGGGGGGGGGGGUGCAGGGGCACGCAUACCCCUAAACAUUUUGUGAAUCUAAGUUUGGCCUCAUUGAGGAGCAGUAUUUCAACAUGAGUAGGAAAAUGAGAGCACCCCUAAACAUUUUUUUUGGGGGGGGGAGCACUGGCUGGCUGAAUGUCUAAAAACUACCUAUAUGGUUGUUUUUUUAGAUGUAUACUGUGUCCAAUAAUCUGAAAACCAGAUUUCAUUAAAAUUAGGUCUGGGAAUUGUGCCAAUGAGAGCUCAUAUGUAAGCUUGGCUGAAUUAUAUUAUUGUGAACAAGUGCAGACUCCUUUAUCUGACAUAUUUGGAGGACAUGAUUUCCUGUUGAAUAAAGCAGUGUUUUAUUGACAAGUGUUGGUCAUUCUUCAAAGCUCUUCCCAGCUAUAGCAACUGUUCAGAGUGAUCUGUUUCUUCUCAUGGUCUAUUCUCUAUAGGGCAUAAAGUGAAAAACAAUGAAUCCCAUUGAAAAAGCAAAUGUGUUGGAUGCUGUGGUGAUAAACUGAAAUGCCAGCACUGAUUUUUGCAGGAGUUUGUAACAAUGCCUCCUAGAUUUUAUGUUCCUACGUGUGAUCUGGGACAAACACCCUAGCUCUUCAUGGAAAUAACAGGCACCUGUUAAGAUACGGUACAGAAGCACUGACUGCACCAUUCUCAGUAAGCUCUGUUCAUUUCUAAAUCAUGGUAAAAGGAAAUCUAAUAAAUGCAUUUCACAGACAGAAGACUGAUGCAUCUAAAGCAGAAGAUUUGAACAGGAGUGCAGAGGAGAGGUCAUACACUUCAAUUAGAAGUUGAUCAGCCCUGUCUGGAAGAUGCAAAGCAAUAAAUGGAUAUGUGCUUCUCAAAUGCCAGGGGUACAAGCUGGUAGAGAUUGCCUGGCUUAUGUGUGAGGUUCAGCUAAGUGACUGCCACAGUUUUUGUGCACCAGGCGGUCAGUCUAAUGGUGUGCCAUAAAGUAGAAUCCUUUUUUGAACUAGCAUUUGGGAAGGAAGAGAUGAGGAAUAUAAUUCAGUGUUGAAAUGCAUGCUUUCAAAGCUUUUAAUUUUGAAGGGGAAUCAUAUACUUAAAACCUGGCACACUGUACAAUUGUCAGAAGUCAUGCAUAUAGGACACAGUUCCAGCAGUGAUUAACCAUAUGGAGUCCUGAUGUGUGGGGAUGUUGAUUUUAAAGGUACUCUGCAAAUGUUCGCACUCAUUCCACAAUUGGAGGUGUUGCUGCCUAACCAGCCCCCUGCUGUUUGUGCCUUAGAUCUGGUGGUGAUGGUUAGCUUGUCUUUGGGAUCUGGAUUCAGCCUUAUACUUUGUUGAAAAAGAGAGGUUCCAUUUAUCUCUCAAUAUUAAUGGUUGAUCAUUUAGCAUGAACUUGUGUGGGUGUGUUUUUUUUGUGAGCUAUCAAAGCUAGAGCCAUCACACAUCCUAUGGUAAUACAUUGCAUGAGUUAAUUAAGCAAUGUACAAAGAGCUUUCUUUUAUCAACCUGGAGCUCAUUGCCAAUUAAUUUCAUUGAGAGAGUUCAAAUGUGUAGUCUUAAGAAAAAGCCCAUUCAGUCUCUCCACUUCCCAUCACUAUCAAUGAUUGUUUUCUUCCUUUUAGUUGUCUUUUCCUAAACUGAAAGUAACAACCUCUUCGGCUCUUCUUCAUAAGGGUGGUGUCCUCACCGGUGGUAAGUCUAGUCAUGGUUUUUUGCAUUUCUCCAGUUGCCAUUUGUAUGCUAGAAGAUCAUACAAAUACAUGAUCCAGCAAAGGAGAGAGAGAUGCAGACACAAAACCAAUAUGUAAGUUUCUCUAGAGCUAGGACAAAAUGUCACUUGGGUUUGGAAUACUGUGGACCCUGAGAAACAGGAUUGCCAGAGAGGUUCUUGUAGUUACCGUAUUUUUCACUCCAUAAGACACACUUUUUCCCUCCUAAAAAGGAAGGGAAAAUGUGUGUGCAUCUUAUGGAGCGAAGCUCUCCCAACCGCGGCUACCAAGCCUGCCCCUGCGAGAGGCGGCGGCGGGAUCAGUGCCCCGAAAGCCGCCGGCUCUCUCAAGAACGGGAGGCAGCCGCGUUUGCCCCUGCCAGAGCCAGCCAGCCAGCCAGCAGCAGCAGCAGCAGCAGCAACAAACAUGGGGUUGCUUAUUCCUUCCCUCUCUCUUCCCUCCCUCCCUCCUUCCUUCCCUCUCUCUUCUUCUCUCUCUCUUUCCCUCUCUCACCCCUUCCUUCCUUUCCUUCUUCUGAGCCGUUGAAGGCUCGCUAGAAAAGAUCCCCCCCUUGUUUAAAUACAGUAAUGGAGCACGAAACAUUAUGUCUGGUGCUUAUUAUUAUUUAUUUAUUUGAAUUACCUAUUGCUUUCUGCAGAGUAGACUCUAGUUAUAAUGCAUGAAUGAGCCCAAGGCUAUUGAUAAAAAGUCUGAUCAGGCAAAAGCUUUUGAUGUGUCCUCCCUCACCCCAAAUGAAACUGCUUAACUGUAAGGGUGUUGGUUGAAGUGAUCAAGGGAUAGCACUUUUUUUUAUGUACUAGACACAAUACGCAUAUUUUUUAAUGCUGCAAGCACAAUCCAUAAAACAGAAAUGUGACAGCAGUCAGGCGUUGGAAAAAUUUAGCAGAUGCGUGGCAUUUGUUGAACGUAAUUACAAUAGAGUUAGCAGAAAGCCAAAGAUGGCUACAGAAUCUUCUAGUGCUUGUAAAAUAGUCAUUCCGUAGGAAUCUGUGAAAGUGUUUUGAUCUGUCAACUUAGCUUAAUAGUUAGAUGAGGCUUUAGCUCAUUGAUUGUUCCCUUUCUCAACUGAUAAUUUCCAGGCAGAGUUUAGGAAGAUCACACAUUUGUCUUGUUAUCCUGAAAAGAACUAUUUUUAGUUUCUCUGCUGCAAGCCAGAAGAAUUACAGGAAGACUAACCAGCCUGAAGGCGGAAUACUGGUCAUGUUAGCCCCAUUAGGGGCAUAGAUCUGAGUCUCGCACACUUAGCUCAGGGCUCAGACAACUGGCAGACAGGUGGCAGCUGUGAAGGACACACAGCCGCAAGCUGUGGCAUGCUAGGAAGUGCCAAAUAUGCACCCAGCCACACUUUUUAUUUAAUGGUAAAAACUUACUGUAUGAUGAGACUGGCAGUACCGGUAAGUACAUCCACUUUGGCUCCACAGUCCCAAAGGUUGUACCUAGGAGUACUGUGGAGCACAUAGCAGGUAGACCUCUUGCUAUUUGAGUGUCUUCAUUCGUCCCACAUCCCUUUUAGUAGCUGAGCUCACUUCCACUCUCAUUUUCAGAAAAUAUUUAAAAUGGUGAUGGGCUUCUGCAUACUUGCUGCUGCUGGCAGGCACCUUCCCUUGCUGCUCACCUGCUCCAGCUAGCAGACCAGCCACCCACUACCCACAGUAGUGAUGGGAGUGGUGAGGUGGCAGGUGGUGGCAGUGGCAUUGGGGUGAGAUCAACCCCACAACCCUCCUCAAAAAGUAAGAAAGGAAAGAGAAGUGGGAUGAUGAUGGCAAUCGGAAGAUGGGCAGUAACAACCAGGAAAAGAACAGCUGCAGCAGCAUUCACUAAAAGGAAAAGUUAUUUGGGGGGAGGGUCUACCAGAAGUGCCAAGGUGGUCCCCCCCCCCGGUAUUUAAUCAGGGCCCUCCUAAAAUCUGGCACUGCCUCUGAAACCAAAUAAUGCAACUUUCAUUUUUGUUCAGUUUGCUUUCCAGGCACAUAGUAAGCAAGUUUCAUGUCUGGCCUCUGUGACCCAGGAAGUUGUGGCUCAAAUCUAGCUACAGAAUGAAAGAAGAGAAGACACCAGCACAGAACGAAAACCUCAAAAGCCAGCUGCUUCCAGCUUCUAGCUCACAUCACUCAACUCUCAACUCUGGCCUUUGUCUUUCUAACUACCAGUGAGCUGAGAAACCUGAGAAUCGACAUGGCUUCUUAAAAUAUAAACAUGAAAUUGCUGUGAAGAUUGGAGAGACAUCAGUCGAAAUAUAACUGUAAAUGUGUACCAAGUGUUCAGGUAAGCAUCUUUUUAGUCUCUCAGUAUGGUCAGACAGUGUGUCCAACCACUGCCAUCAGUGGUUAAGAGUGUAGAUUUCUAGCCCUUAAUUUUUGUCACCUUGCAGUCAGUUCAGCCUAUCAAAGCCAGACAUGAGAACUGCCACAUCCCUAGAAUCUACCCUCUUUGGCAGAAAUAUUAAGACUCUGAAUUCUAAGUUAAUUUUCGCAACUGCUAAACCUCAACCCAGAAUUGAGAGACCAUCAAGCAGUUGCACAACAUAUGUACCAAUUGAUUAUAUGAAUAGACACAUCCUCACCAUGUCCUUUGGAUGUUGUCUCAUCUACACCCAGUGGGUCUGGAAAACUAAUUGCUGUUGUAUAGCCUCACAGUGUCUGAAACAUAUGUUGGCUUUAAGAGUUAAUUUCCACUGAACUUGUAAAUAUAGGUUGAUCUAGUUCUUUAAUCCUCAACACAAUGCCAGCCCAUCCAAUUAGAAACUAUUUGUAACAGGACUGUACAGUACAGGAAAUCUGCGGGCUUUAGGAGUGAACUCAACAAAUUCCAUCAGAAAUGUGCAAAGCUGUUUCAUGUGUGCUGAGGGAUGCAGGCCCACAAAUCUUGCAAACUGGGUGAUUCAAUCUGCCAGUAGAUGUGUAGCAGAAUAUAUGCAGCUUAAAGAUCCUCAACAGUUAGGAACUAAUAGAAUUGAUUCACUCUAAUGACCUACCCUCUC
Molecule: non-coding RNA, 10913 nt
Organism: Zootoca vivipara (common lizard)
Lineage: Eukaryota; Metazoa; Chordata; Lepidosauria; Squamata; Lacertidae
Source: RefSeq, a predicted model, not a curated record